Molecule: ribosomal RNA, 165 nt
Filed under: Neofusicoccum parvum
Lineage: Eukaryota; Fungi; Ascomycota; Dothideomycetes; Botryosphaeriales; Botryosphaeriaceae
Description: partial 28S ribosomal RNA
Source: RNAcentral
ACCUCGGCGGUGGCGUCUUGCCUCAAGCGUAGUAGAAAACACCUCGCUUUGGAGCGCACGGCGUCGCCCGCCGGACGAACCUUUGAAUUAUUUCUCAAGGUUGACCUCGGAUCAGGUAGGGAUACCCGCUGAACUAAGCAUAUCAAUAUAAGCGGGGAAAAGAAA